RNAcentral lists this long non-coding RNA (227 nucleotides) under Mytilus galloprovincialis (Mediterranean mussel). Lineage: Eukaryota; Metazoa; Mollusca; Bivalvia; Mytilida; Mytilidae. The record is from RNAcentral.
UUUUUCUUUUAAAAGUAUUAUCUCUAUGUUGUAGCCGUAUGAGACGAGCCGGUUACUGUAGUGCAGUAGGAGUGAGUUGCGAUUCUGACUUGGCUUGUUGUUCUAAAAAGUGUGCGUACGGAAAGUGCUUUUAAUGGAUGGUUUAGCAGCUUUGGAGAAAACGGAGUUAACAGUCAUCAUCUGGAUUUAUUAUGUAGUGGAUUAAAUAAAAAUUGCCAUCAAAAUUU